AUUGAACGCUGGCGGCAUGCCUUACACAUGCAAGUCGAACGGCAGCACGGGAGCUUGCUCCUGGUGGCGAGUGGCGAACGGGUGAGUAAUACAUCGGAACGUACCCUGAAGUGGGGGAUAACGUAGCGAAAGUUACGCUAAUACCGCAUAUUCUGUGAGCAGGAAAGAGGGGGAUCGCAAGACCUCUUGCUUUAGGAGCGGCCGAUGUCGGAUUAGCUAGUUGGUGAGGUAAAGGCUCACCAAGGCGACGAUCCGUAGCGGGUCUGAGAGGAUGAUCCGCCACACUGGGACUGAGACACGGCCCAGACUCCUACGGGAGGCAGCAGUGGGGGAAUUUUUGGGACAAUGGGCGCAAGCCUGAUCCAGCCAUGCCGCGUGAGUGAAGAAGGCCUCGGUUGGUAAG
This 403-nucleotide ribosomal RNA is filed under the name uncultured bacterium. RNAcentral describes it as "bacterial SSU rRNA". It matches the Rfam family "Bacterial small subunit ribosomal RNA", at positions 30 to 430 of the family's 1533-position model. The record is from RNAcentral.